GUCUACAGCCAUAGCACCCUGAACGUGCCCGAUCUUGUCUGAUCUCAGAAGCUAAGCAGGGUUGAGCCUGAUUAGUACUUGGAUGGGAGACCACCUGAGAAUACCGGGUGCUGUAGGCU
Ribosomal RNA from Mastomys coucha (southern multimammate mouse), 119 nucleotides. The record is from RefSeq and is a predicted model, not a curated record. NCBI's taxonomy places the organism in Eukaryota, Metazoa, Chordata, Mammalia, Rodentia, Muridae.